CCACAGCAAAAGGCACUCAGUUCAACACCAACGAUAGCAAGGGCGAGUUGAUGAAAAUGACAACAACAACAUGGACGGCGAUGAACUCCACCAUCAUCAACAUUUUUUUUUUACUGGUACUCAACCGAAUCGCUGUCUAAUAUUGUCGAAGACUUGUUCGACGAUCGCCGUCGCGUCCAAUAGUGAGUGUAUCCGCGUGCUUCAUCAUAUUGCUGGACAGUCGUACGCCACGGUGGCCAUUGCAGCUAUUCCUCUACCAGGUCCCACACCAUCAGUGAGGCGUCUGUGCCGCCCACUGUCACCACAGUUUGAUCGCCGUAUAGAAAACGCGCACAUGCCAACAUGCCCGAAUAGACUUUCGCUUCAUGAAACUCGGAGCGCGGAUUGAUGCAGGGCAUUACCUGAAAAUACGCAAGUAACCAUCGGCAUCGCCGGAAACAAGCAUAUCUUGCGCCGCCGAACGGCUGCAUGUUGCAAUAAUAGUAUUAUUGUUGCUGUAGUAACGAUUGCUCCACAUACCCGCCACCAGAAAGCCAACUGUGCAAUUGCUAGUCAACCAUUUGACAUCUUUCAUGGCGAUCGGGCUGCGUUCCGGCGACAGUGAUUUAGCAUCCCAGAAGAGUAGAUCGAAAUCGAUGGUGACAGUUUGCACGAAAUUGCCAUCCAUGCUCCAGUCCAAAUGUGUGAGUGGCUGCGAACCGCGUAUCUUGUUCACUUUUUUGUAUGAGAAACCAUCGCGCGAUACACGGAAUAAGUAGAUGCUGCCAUUUUGUGAACCCAUAGCAAUCAUAUCACCCACUAGGAGACGCACUCACCUUGAUUAUAGGCCACACAGUUCAGCGGCGAACCACAGACCCGCAACGUUAACAUAACCGAACCGUUUUCACAAUUGAUGACAAGUAAAUGGCCCUCAGUGCUGCCAGCAGCCAGGGCAGUGCCAAAUGGAUGAAAAGCUAAUGAAACACACUCGUAACCUGUUUGUAUGGUCCAAAUCAACUUGUUCUUGCGCCACAGCGCAAUGUGCUUAUCAUGACCGGCAGUAGCGAAUACCUCAUCCUCUGGAUGAGCAGCUAGACCCCACAAUUGACGACCGUGACCGAAUACAACUUGGGUAAAGCGACGCUGCAGUGAACCCUCUAAAAUGUUAUUGCGCGUAGUGCCAACAUAAAUAUUACCAUCAUUGCGUCCGGGACGUUGUGGAUAAAUGGUGCGUACGCCGCCAGCGGCCUCUGGAAGCUACAAAUAAAAUACAUUAAAAGAAAAACCAAUUAGCUUGCGAGUAAGCGCGCUUACUUUAGUAUCAGCGAUUUUCUUGUAGUUUUGCAACGAGUCCCAGGCAGCAAUUUUACGAUCUUUCUCACCACCUGACAGUAGCGUUCCUUCGCCCAGCAUAAUUAGGCAACCAAUACCUUUGUUAUGUGCCUCGAAUUCGGUGCGCACAAAGUAUGCACCAUCCGAGUCGACCGAGUAAAUGGUGAUAAAACCAUCGGAAUCGGCAGUGAUAACGUCGCCGUCUGGCUCGAAUUGCACGCUGGUCACAUGCGAGCGCGACGGUUGUUUAACAAUAUCGGUGCGUUCGAAAAAGCCAUCUUUGCGGCGAUGCCAGAACGCCAAAUGACCACGCCCAUGUGUAAUAAUAAGAUUAUCAUCCAGCGGAUGAAAAGCGGCACCAGACAGACCUUCUUGUAGUGUCUAAGAUUAAUAAAAUAUAUUCAAAACUUUUAGAUGCGUAAUAUACGAACAAGAACCUACUGCCACUUUUCCCAGCAGAUGACCCCAUUGCCACUGCCACACAGAGAGUAUGCUUUCACGCCCGCUAUCAACUGCUAAAAUGUAGCUGCCCCCGUUCUGCGGUUGUAUAGAAGGAAGAAGAAACAAUAGAACACGAGUUAAUAAGAAUGGCGUUUUGGGUAUGGCAUCAUUUUGUACCAAUUGUGAAAAGGCUACCGCCGUAACGCCACUAUCCAAUUCGCCCAUACCGAACACAUAAAGCGUCUGUAGUGACUCUGUGCUCCAAAUGCGUACAUGCGCUUGAGAUUUACGAUCACGCCCAGCUUUUUGCCCAGAAGCGACUAAUUCGCGUGAAGGAUGUACGUCCAUGCUGUAGGCGAAUGUCGCUGUGCGUCCUCUUCUCGAUCCAACAGUACUGCCACAGCGGCUACAUAAUACAACAGCUCACCUGAUGGUAACACCCAGAGAUUGCGGCGCGCAUCGAUGCCGCGAUAGCCGUGACUGCCAGUGAAAAA
This is a long non-coding RNA of Anastrepha obliqua, 2246 nucleotides long. RefSeq lists it as uncharacterized. The record is from RefSeq and is a predicted model, not a curated record. The transcript has 5 exons. Lineage: Eukaryota; Metazoa; Arthropoda; Insecta; Diptera; Tephritidae.